AUUGAACGCUGGCGGCAGGCUUAACACAUGCAAGUCGAGCGGGGUGAUGGUGCUUGCACUAUCACUUAGCGGCGGACGGGUGAGUAAUGCUUAGGAAUCUGCCUAUUAGUGGUGGACAACAUCUCGAAAGGGAUGCUAAUACCGCAUACGUCCUACGGGAGAAAGCAGGGGAUCACUUGUGACCUUGCGCUAAUAGAUGAGCCUAAGUUGGAUUAGCUAGUUGGUGGGGUAAAGGCCUACCAAGGCGACGAUCUGUAGCGGGUCUGGGAGCAUGCUCCACCACACUUGCAAUCAGACACGGCCCAGACUCCUACGGUGGGGAGCAGUGGGGAAUAUUGGACAAUGGGGGGAACCCUGAUCCAGCCAUGCCGCGUGUGUGAAGAAGGCCUUAUGGUUGUAAAGCACUUUAAGCGAGGAGGAGGCUCUUUUGGUUAAUACCCAAGAUGAGUGGACGUUACUCGCAGAAUAAGCACCGGCUAACUCUGUGCCAGCCGCCGCCGCCG
RNAcentral lists this ribosomal RNA (503 nucleotides) under uncultured bacterium. Its description in RNAcentral is "partial 16S ribosomal RNA". It matches the Rfam family "Bacterial small subunit ribosomal RNA", at positions 30 to 523 of the family's 1533-position model. The record is from RNAcentral.